RNAcentral lists this ribosomal RNA (492 nucleotides) under uncultured bacterium. RNAcentral describes it as "partial 16S ribosomal RNA". It matches the Rfam family "Bacterial small subunit ribosomal RNA", at positions 29 to 507 of the family's 1533-position model. The record is from RNAcentral.
AGUGAACGCUGGCGGUAGGCCUAACACAUGCAAGUCGAACGGCAGCACAGUAAGAGCUUGCUCUUACGGGUGGCGAGUGGCGGACGGGUGAGGAAUACAUCGGAAUCUACUUUUUCGUGGGGGAUAACGUAGGGAAACUUACGCUAAUACCGCAUACGACCUACGGGUGGAAGCAGGGGAUCUUCGGACCUUGCGCGAUUGAAUGAGCCGAUGUCGGAUUAGAUAGUUGGCGGGGUAAAGGCCCACCAAGGCGACGAUCCGUAGCUGGUCUGAGAGGAGGAUCAGCCACACUGGAACUGAGACACGGUCCAGACUCCUACGGGAGGCAGCAGUGGGGAAUAUUGGACAAUGGGCGCAAGCCUGAUCCAGCCAUACCGCGUGGGUGAAGAAGGCCUUCGGGUUGUAAAGCCCUUUUGUUGGGAAAGAAAAGCAGCAGGUUAAUACCCCGCUGUUCUGACGGUACCCAAAGAAUAAGCACCGGCUAACUUCGUG